GGGCCGGUAGUUCAGCCUGGUAUGAACGUUCGGUUCGCAACCGAAAGGUCGCGGGUUCAAAUCCCGCCCGGUCCA
This 75-nucleotide transfer RNA is filed under the name Candidatus Bathyarchaeota archaeon. RNAcentral describes it as "tRNA-Ala". It matches the Rfam family "tRNA". From Rfam's summary of the family: Transfer RNA (tRNA) molecules are approximately 80 nucleotides in length. Their secondary structure includes four short double-helical elements and three loops (D, anti-codon, and T loops). The record is from RNAcentral. Lineage: Archaea; Thermoproteati; Candidatus Bathyarchaeota.